GUCUAACUGUCCAGUGUUGAGAUGGAGAUGAGUGGCCUCCUGAGUGUUCUGCUGGUCACAUCAGCAGCCUUGCUGUUUAUAGCUAACGGACAGAGCAACUAUGAUAUGUUGAGGGAUGUUGACAAGAAACAUGUUGACAUGGCUAUAAGAUAUGCAAAUAAGAAUAGUGCGAUUCAGAAAUACAAUCCAAAAGAGCACCUCAAUUUUUUUCAAGUUAUUGGACAAUCUGAGACCAAGGCUGGGGAAUUUAAAAUCAACUUGUUGUUGAAAGCAACAGACUGCCCUAAGGCCAGUAGUGAUAGUGAACAUGAACAUCGCCCUGAAUGUAGCUUUAAAUCCAGAAGGCCUUAUAUAAACUGUGUUGUUUGCAGAAAAGACUUCCAUGACCCCUACAUUGACUGUGUUCUCCACAAAGAUGUGAAGAAGCAAGAUAACAUCCGAUAUGACAAGUGUUCAUCUCUUCAACGUGGAGUGCUUACACCUUUAUCCUUACGUGCCGAAGAAGACCUUCAGACUGGAUGCCUUGGCUGUUUCUGAUAACUAAUGAAAGAACGUGUACUGAUGAUCAGAGGCCGUCCUUAUAAAGCACUUAUAAAGCAUUUAUAAUGUAGCCUUUUGGGAGUUUCGGUUGGGAUUUUCAAAACAAUACAAUUGUCUCAAAUACUAUUUUGAAUCCCUUAUAUUAUCGUAUUCCACGUAGAUAAAUAUUCUUAAACGUACCCUCCUUUGCUGGUACUCCACAUAUAUUUUAAGAAAAAGUGAGAACAGUCUGCUACUUAAGAUUCACAUGGAUUACCCCACAACUUAUUUCAAUGUUGUACAUUUACGAAAUAAUAUUACUGUUGAAAGUAAAGCUUACUCUAAUUUAACCAGUAUGAGGGGUGAAAUAAGGAUGUUAUUGGAUUCUUUUUUUCUAAAUCUUUGUUUUACCAUUUUGGGAAGAAAAUUGCCUGUAUGUCUUGCAGUGUAAAAUGAUUGCAGCUCUGUUUCUACUUCUCUCAGGGCAGCCAAGUCUGCCUGUGACUGCAGAUCACUACUAGGUUUUUAUAGGUAACAUAAUGAACUUAGGGUCUGGUCCCUAUGGCCAGGCUGUGUUCACUGAGUCUGCACAUUGUCAAUUCAGUAUGUUCCUUAGUCACUGUGAACAUAUGUCUGUAGACCAAACGGCAUUAAAGUUUGCUUUGGGUUUUGGGAGGUCAACAACCUUCUGGUUGGAGCUGGUAUCGGGUUAUUGUCUACAGAAGGACAAAACGGGCAUUAGUUGCUAUAUUUAAUUAUGAAUGCAUUCAUUUUUGGGGGGGGUAAUUGUUUUUCUUUCAAGUUGUAUUGUUUAAGAUUAACUAAGAGAACUGCAGGCCACCAUGGACGGCUACAUUUCAGGUGUAGAGGUGGGUGUUUGUAUUUUCCAACAAGCCACUGUGCUCUCCUCUUUCACUCAUCUGCCUUUUUUAUUCUGUCACACCCCAGCUGGGGCCUUUGGACCUUAACUGCUGAUCCUUUUUCCAAAUAUAGUGUUGGACAGCAUGCAUUCUUGUCCCAGCCAACGUGUCAAGCUGCCUUAUCCAGCCUAUGUAGCUGUGAAAACCAAAAUAAAGAAUUAGCCGAUAUAUACACAAACACACACACAUAGUGGAUAACAAAUAUUCAGGUACGUAAAAAGUUGUUGAUAUAAAAAUACAUUUUCAAACAAGUUAACUUUGUUUAAAUUCUGUGUUGUUAUAGAGUGCAUUGGUCACAGUCCCAAAGCCAGCCCUCUGUAAAGCUCUAUCCAGUAGUAGAUCUUAGGAAACUGGGACUAUCCCGAACUUCAAGUGAAGGUGUGCAGCAACCAAUCAGAGAUUAGUGGGCGUCCGUGACUCCCUGCUGUCACCUCUCGUAUCAAUAGUUACUGGAGUUGUAAUUCUAGUUGUAUGAGUGGAGCUCUGCUCCUAGUGGUUUAUCCCACUGCCUAGGGAGUGAAUAGCCUGUGAAAAAUUAUGCACACACUUGCAGCCAAUGGGAGUACAGGUGUCCCUUCCUCCCAUUAUCUUCAGUGAAACUGGGGGUCGGCAGGGCCUUAAGUCCUAUGGGGCUUCACUCACAGAACUGGAGUUACAACUCUGGUAACUAUAUGUUCUACAUAGGGGAGCUCAUUUGAUUUACACAACAUGCCUACCAUUUUGAAACAAACAAGAAAUAAAAACAUGUGCAAAACUAUUCGCCACCUUUUGGCAGCAAUUACACCCCAAGAGACUUGUAGCUAUGUCUCUAUAAGCUUGGUACAUCUAGCCACUGGUAAUUUUGCUCAUUCUUCAAGACCAAUCUGGAUGCGUUCCGCUGGUAUGCAGCAAUCUUUAAGUCAUAGCACAGAUUCUCAAUUGGAUUUAGGUCCGGGCUUUGACUAGGCCAUUCCAAGACAUUGAAAUGUUUCCCCUUCAACCAGUCGAGUGUUGCUUUAGCGUCAUUGUCCUGCUGGAAGGUGGACCUCCAUCCCAGUCUCAAAUCUCGUUGAUUGAAACCGGUUUCCCUGUAUUUAGCGCAUCCAGCAUUCCUUCUAUUUUGAUCAGUUUCCCGGCCCCUGACGAUUUGAAAAAUAUCGCCACCACCUUGCUUCACUGUGGGGAUGGUGUUCUACGGUUGAUGAGGUGUUGUGUUUGCGACAGAUAUAGCGUUUUUCGUUGAUGGCCAAAAAGCUCAAUCUUAGUCUCAUCUGACCAGAGUACCUUCUUCCAUAUGUUUGGGUGGUCUCCCACAUGUCUUUUGGCGAACACCAAAUGUGUUUGCUAAUUUAUGGCUUUUUCUGGCCACAUACUGUAAAGCCCAGCUCUGUGGAGUGUACGCCUUAAAGUGGUCCUAUGGACAGAUACUCCAAUCUCUGCUUUGCAGCUCCUUCAGGGUAAUCUUUGGUCUCUUUGGUGGGCGGCCCUCUCUUGGCAGGUUUGUUGUGGUGCCAUAUUCUUAAACAUUUUUAAUAAUGGAUUUAAUGGUGCUCUGUGGGAUGUUCACAGUUUUUGAUUUUUUUUUGAAUAACCCAACCCUGAUCUGUACUUGUCCACAACUUUGUCCCUGACCUGUUUGGAGAGAUUCUUGGUCUUCACGGUGCCGCUUGUUUGGUGGUGUUGCAGACUCCGGGGCCUUUCAGAAUGUGUGUGUGUGUAUAUACACUUAGAUUGCACACAAUUAAAUAAAAGUUCACCUAUGUGACUUCUGAGGGUAAUUGGUUGCACCAGAUCUUAAGGGGUGAAUACAUAUGCACGCACCACUUUAAGUAAUUUUUUUCAUUUCACUUCAACAAUUGACUCUUUUUUGUGUGUGUCCAUUACAUGAAAUCCAAAUAAAAUCCAUUUACAUUACAGGUUGUAAUGCAAUAAAAGGAAAACCGCCAAGGGGGAUGAAUACU
Oncorhynchus nerka (sockeye salmon) is the source of this 3379-nucleotide long non-coding RNA. RefSeq lists it as uncharacterized. The transcript has 4 exons. Lineage: Eukaryota; Metazoa; Chordata; Actinopteri; Salmoniformes; Salmonidae. The record is from RefSeq and is a predicted model, not a curated record.